UGCGGAAAAUAUUGUUUAUUCUUUACAAGUGGAAUCAAAUAUGGACCAGUGCCUGAUUGUCUAACAAGUGUUGAGUGGGAUAUUUAACUUUUUUAUGGUGUUAAGUUUUAUCUACAGCAUUUGUGGUCCCUCUCUAAUCUUAUUUAUUUUAGGUUGUGUAUUUUUAACCCACUAGUCUAUUAUUAUUUGCAAAACUAACAUCUGUUUUUAAUUUUAUUAUUCUGU
This is a non-coding RNA of Pelobates cultripes (western spadefoot toad), 225 nucleotides long. The record is from the annotation of a GenBank genome assembly. NCBI's taxonomy places the organism in Eukaryota, Metazoa, Chordata, Amphibia, Anura, Pelobatidae.